This 694-nucleotide ribosomal RNA is filed under the name uncultured bacterium. Its description in RNAcentral is "bacterial SSU rRNA". It matches the Rfam family "Bacterial small subunit ribosomal RNA", at positions 111 to 823 of the family's 1533-position model. The record is from RNAcentral.
UAACGCGUGGGUAACCUGCCGUAUACAGGGGGAUAACACUUAGAAAUAGGUGUUAAAACCGCAUAAGCGCACAGGAUCGCAUGGUCUGGUGUGAAAAACUCCGGUGGUAUACGAUGGACCCGCGUCUGAUUAGCUUGUUGGCGGGGUAGAGGCCCACCAAGGCGACGAUCAGUAGCCGGCCUGAGAGGGUGAACGGCCACAUUGGGACUGAGACACGGCCCAAACUCCUACGGGAGGCAGCAGUGGGGAAUAUUGCACAAUGGGGGAAACCCUGAUGCAGCGACGCCGCGUGAGUGAAGAAGUAUUUCGGUAUGUAAAGCUCUAUCAGCAGGAAAGAAAAUGACGGUACCUGACUAAGAAGCCCCGGCUAACUACGUGCCAGCAGCCGCGGUAAUACGUAGGGGGCAAGCGUUAUCCGGAUUUACUGGGUGUAAAGGGAGCGUAGACGGUGAAGCAAGUCUGAAGUGAAAGGCGGGGGCUCAACCCCCGGACUGCUUUGGAAACUGUUUGACUGGAGUGCAGGAGAGGUAAGUGGAAUUCCUAGUGUAGCGGUGAAAUGCGUAGAUAUUAGGAGGAACACCAGUGGCGAAGGCGGCUUACUGGACUGUAACUGACGUUGAGGCUCGAAAGCGUGGGGAGCAAACAGGAUUAGAUACCCUGGUAGUCCACGCGGUAAACGAUGAUCACUAGGUGU